GACAAAGUUACAAGACAAAUGUGAAUUUACAUUUGAAGAUCUAAGCUACUCUACGACCUACGACGUGGAGGUGGUUGCUUUCAACGGACACCUUUACAGUAAAACCAAGACAGAACGUGUUAGCACUUCCUACAAUGACAAAGCUCUCAUUGGCUUUCUGGUCUUCCUCAUCAUGCUCACAUCUGUGGCUGUGCUUUGGGGCGUCUACAAGAUCCACAUGA
Thunnus maccoyii (southern bluefin tuna) is the source of this 221-nucleotide long non-coding RNA. RefSeq lists it as uncharacterized. NCBI's taxonomy places the organism in Eukaryota, Metazoa, Chordata, Actinopteri, Scombriformes, Scombridae. The transcript is spliced from 3 exons. The record is from RefSeq and is a predicted model, not a curated record.